GAAACAGAAUGAAACGAAACAGAGAGCAGGGGAGAAAAAGAAAGAAAGAAUGGGAGAAAAGGGAAAAUUGAAGGUUUGAAGCUUUAAGCUUUAAUAGUCAAUGUGGUACCGGAAAUCUCGGCUAAGAAAGGACAAGACAAAGUCAACGGGAGUUAGCUCGAAAAUUACGGUUAAGUAAAGAUAGUACGUUGAAUCAGCAUCUCAAGACGAUCCCGAAUUCAUUAAGGUAAAGUAUGUUGAGUAUUGAUAAUGACAUGUACCCAGGAUGUUUAAUGAGAGUCAUUUAGGUUGUAAAAGUAUUGAUGAAAUGAGUAAAUUAUGGUUGGCAACGGUAUGUAGUAUGAAUUUUGAAAUUUACUAAAAAUUCGUAGUGAUUCUAAAUUAGUCCCGAAUUGAAUUUACUAUUCAUAUUGGACCGCGAGGGCCCAUUAAAGGGACGACAUCUUAAAACUAGGAUGUGUGUGAAUAUUUAUUUUAAUUAAUGACCAAAAUUGGAUUGUACUGACUGGUAAUGUCUCGUAACCCUGUUCCGGUGACAGUAUAGGGUUAUGGGACAUUACAAAUUAGUGGUAUCAGAGCUAUUCAGGUUUAGCCGAUUCUAGAACUAAUUCGAGCUCGAAAUUGAGUCUAGAGGUACAUGCCAUAAUUGAGUCGAAGUUGAGUCGGGAUCGGAUGCUGAUAUAUUUGUUUGGUACUGUUUUAUAGUGAAAAUGUUAGAGGAAAAUAUCGAUGGUAUUGAUUAUGAAAUGUGUACUGAAGACGAAUAGUCUCGUGAAUUAAAUGAAAACUGAAUCAACAACACUGGGUAUAAACUCAAUGGGUAAUUAAUUACUAAAUAAUGACUGAUGAAAUAAUAGAAAAAGAAAUGAUAAAUAAUUAUUUAGAAUUAUAACUGAUGUUCUUCAGUGAGUAGAAAAAAUUGUAUCUGCUACAGUAUCUAUCCCUCCUGUUUCUUACUCGAUUCCCGAGGUGCUUCAAGGUAUAGAGUUUGUCUGAACGGGUAAGUUAUCUGCUGUUAACGAUCUGUACAUUUAUAUAUAUAUAUAUAUAGUGUGGAUGAAUUGAGAAUUACAGUUGAGAAUGAUCUUGAAAGAACUGAAAUCUGGUUAGAGAAUAUUAUCGGGAUUGUAAAUGAAUUGUUCUGUUCACCGAUUAAAUGUUAGAAGGGUAUGAUAUUUCUGUUAAAAGAUUUAGGUUAUCAGUGGUAGAAAAAUUGAUUAUGUUGUGAUUAAGAAAAGGGUUAUUUGGAAUUUUUCUGAGAUGAGUUCUGAAAGAAAUAUAUAUAUAUCAGUCAGAGAUUUCUUGAUCAGAAACAUACAGAAUUCUUGAAGCUUAAACAGGAUCAUAUAACUGCAACUGUGUAUGAAGGGAAUUUGUUUGAUUAAAUAAAUAUAUCAGAGGGUAUAUUCCGAUAGAAACUGUAUGAUACAAAUGGUUUGAAGAUGGUUUAAAUGAAGACAGAAGCUGAAGAAUAUAGAAUAAGGAAUGGAAUAUGUGUUAGACAUGAUUCUCCUGAUUAUUAUCUUAGUGAUUGCUUGAAGAAAAUUGAAAAAAAUAUUAUUCAGAGUUCAAGAUCGAGUAACGUAGUUAACAGAGGUAGGUUACCCUGUAAUCUCAGAAAUACGAGUGAAAGCCGAAGUGUGACAAAUGACUUCACUGUAAAAUCUGGAGAAUGAACAUCAGCCAGGGUAUAUAUUAAUUGUAUAUGAGAAGAUUUAUCUCUACCGGAUGUCAUUACAGGUACUUUAUUCUUUAUCGACACUAAUAUGAUUAUUUUAAAUUGAUCUUGGUUUGACUAUUCCUAUGAUUACAUAAGUUCAGUAUCUAUUAAAGAUUUGUCUGUUGAGUUUGCUGAAAUUUUUGGAUUGAAGCAUUAAAUUUUUCAGAUUAGUAUUUAUGGGCUGAUAAGAUCUGCAUGAACUGUUGAUAAUGAUACUACUGUUUUUUGAUCGAUUUGAUGUUCUUACUGUUUGAUAUAAUCUCAAUAAUGGAAUGGUUAAUUCUGCAUGAUAUGGUGGCAAAUUAUAAGCAGAAGUAUAAUAUGUUGCAAGAUCAGGAUGAUGAAAUGUUUUGUUGAAUCAGAGAAGAUUGAGCUAAUUGUCUAUUGUGAUAUUGAACAUGCCAACACAGAUAUAUGCCGGAAAGGGGUCAUGGUAUUUACCUUGUUUAUGUAUUGAAUAUUAAAAUAUUUAAGUUAAGGUUUAAAUCAAUGGCAAUAGUGCAAGAGAAUUCUAAUGUGUUUCCAAGAGUUGCCCGAACUACUGUUGAUUGAAGAAGUUGAAUGUGCUAUAGACUUUGUAACUGAAAUGAUAGUGAAAAAUAUAUUUGAAAUCAGAGGUUUUCUAAAACUAGUCGGUUAUUACAGAAAGAUAUAGAAUUGGAAUGAUCUGAUAGACGUUAGCAAGGUUCCGAUUAGUUGAAAGCUCAGUUAACUGAAGCACUAGUUCUGGUUCAGUCUGAAAUCCGAUAAAGAAACUUGUGAUUUACAGGAUAGCAGUGUUUUGAUGCCAAAAAAAAAAGAAGUGAAGUAAUGGUUUAUGUUACGAAAUGUUAGAAUCACAUGGGAAGAAUUAUUUGAUACCUGAUUCGGAAGUGGUAGUUAUUGUUCUUGUAUUAAAAGAUCAAGAUAUGAUAAUUAAUUAUCAUCCGAAAAAGACAAAUGAAUGUAUGUAUAUUCAAAAUGAAAGCUUUGUUUUGUGUUAUGAGCUAUGAACAUCUGACUGUUAUCAUUUGAAGAUGGAUCAAUUUUGGUAGAGAUAAAAAAAAUUAAACCGACUUCUUUACAGCAGAUCUGCGAAGCUCAGAAAUGUAGUAAUGAGUUAUCGGUUAAAUAGAUAUAGUAUACAGAUGAUUUCUGAUUAAACAUUUCUGAUUGGAUAUGAUGGUUGUUUGCUAUUUAGAAAUAAAAGCUGAACAGAGGGAUUCAGAACUUAUACAGGAGAAUUUUCAUGAAAUUAUAGUAGUACUAUGUCUAUGCAUUCUAGAAGAAUAAGAUGUACAGUGAUUUGAGACAGAUGUAUUGAAGACUGGGAAAAGAAAAGCAAUACUUUGAAUUUGCAUAUAAAUGUUUAUAUUAGGUACAGAUAUCUUCAGAACUGUUACAACCAGUGGUGAUAUCAAAAUGGAAAUGGGAUAUAAUUGCUAUGAGUUUGAAUUAGAAUUAUCUCUAUUUUUGAAAAAGAAUAUGCGGAGCUGUUUGAUUCGUGAAAUUGAAGAAAAGUACAAGUAAUUCAAAACAGACUGAAAGCAACUUUUGAUAGACAGAAAUUGUAUGUAGAUUUAAAAUGUCGGGAUUUCGAGCAUUCUGCCAGUGAAGCGGUAUUUCUUAAAGUUUCACAUCGGAAUAAAACUUUGAGAUUGGGAUGAAAUAGGGAAAUAGAAUUCUCGUUCAGUUGGGCCAUGUAAAAUUUCGAAAAAAAAAAGUCAGACUGGUAAUAUAUUAUUGGGUUUUACUUCCAAAAUUACAAGAAAUUUAUAGGGAUUAUCAGGAUUUGGUGCUCAAAAGAUGUAAAUCAGAUCUUUUACAUGUUAUAUCGACAAAGGAUAUUGAGAUUUGACGCAAUCUAUUGUAUGAGAAAGAGCCGGUUGAGAUACUAGCCUGAGCGGUAAUGUCAUAAUAUUGAGGAAACAAUACGGGAACCGAAAGAAACAGUGAGAUCACUGAACCCCCACCUCUCUUUUAGGAAAAUUUCGAGGACGAAAUUUCUUAAGGGGGAGAGAAUUGUAAUGACCCGAAUUUUACCGUUACCGAAAAAGUGUAUUUUCGGGUCUCUGUUUCUAAAAAUUGGAUUCGUAAAUAUUUAUUAAAAAUAUUUACGAAGUAAAAUGAGUAGUUAAUUAGAGUUUAAUUAAGUGAAUUUAAAUUUAAUUAAGAGUAAUUAAGUAAAAGGACCAAAUUGAAUAAAGUGUGAAAGUUGAAUUAUAGAUUAAAAGAAAAUAAAAAGGACUAAAAGGGCAAUUAUACAAAAAGUAUAAAUUGAGGCGGUUUAUCGUGAAGAAAAUCUAAGAUUUUUUUUUAUGUUUAGUAUUUUAUUAUAUUAUUAUAUUAUUAUAUAAUAAAGAUACUUUAUGUUUUAAUUAUAUUAUAUUAUAUUAUAUUAUAUAUAUAAACUAAAGAAACAAAUGAAAGGAAAUAGAAACAGAAUGAAACGAAACAGAGAGCAGGGGAGAAAAAGAAAGAAAGAAGGGGAGAAAAGGGAAAAUUGAAGGUUUGAAGCUUUAAGCUUUAAUAGUCAAUGUGGUACCGGAAAUCUCGGCUAAGAAAGGACAAGACAAAGUCAACGGGAGUUAGCUCGAAAAUUACGGUUAAGUAAAGAUAGUACGUUGAAUCAGCAUCCCAAGACGAUCCCGAAUUCAUUAAGAUAAAGUAUGUUGAG
This 4376-nucleotide long non-coding RNA is filed under the name Gossypium barbadense (sea-island cotton). RNAcentral's name for it is "long non-coding RNA (GBAR_LNC011021)". The record is from RNAcentral. Lineage: Eukaryota; Viridiplantae; Streptophyta; Magnoliopsida; Malvales; Malvaceae.